AGAGCGACGUGUCGCUGGCGUCUCGGUGGGCGGGGCUUGUCUGUGAUGGGCGGGGCUAAACGCAAGAGCAGGAAUCUUCCUUCUUAGAAUGGUUAAGACUUUGCAACAAAGCCGAGUAGUAAUGACGCAGAUACACAAGAAGACGGAUCUCUGUGAGUUCGAGGCCAAUCUGAUUGAGUUCCAGGACAGGCUCCAAAGCAACACAAAAGAACUCUGUUUCGAAGAAAAAAAAAAAGACUGUGCUGCAGUUGUGCGGGUCUAUGUGAAAAUGGGAAGUUAAUUGCUGGACAAGUUUAAUUUCCUCCAGUGACCAGGUCAGGCUACGUGUACACUAGAAGGGCCAGGACCACGAAGGCUCGGAUGGAGAAAUAGAUUACACAAAAAUUAAUUUGCCUGAAGUUGCUUAUGUGAUGAAAAUCCAUAGCUGUUGACUUAGAAGUCGGUGUCUGUCAAAUUUGGAUGCAAUAAGAAGGCUGCAGAUUUAGACAUCAUGAGGAGCCAGAGGCAGGGCCUCGGGGGCACUCGCAAAUAUGUACACUCAGGAACACACACCGCAGAAAGAGUGGCUCAAGAAUGUUACAGGGUCGAGUUCUUCUACCGCCUUCUCUGCUGUUCUACAAAGUGGCUUCAACCUAAGACUGGCUUCACAUUGAAAAGAAGACCAGGAAGACCCACCAUAACUGUGAGCCACAGCAUUGCGUGGGCUGGGAUCCUGGACUGAAUAAGAAGGAGAGAAGGAUCUGGGUGCCAGCGUCCAUCACUCGGCUGCCUCAUGUUUCUGCAACUGUGGCUUCCCUGACGUGGGCUGGAAGAGUCCCUGAGACUGUGAGCCAAAGUUAAUGCUUUCUGCCGUUGUUUUGUCUUAUCUCAGCAACAGGACAAGGAACUAAUGAUGUGGGAUUUAUGAUGGUGGGAUAGGUUUUAUUACCAUUGGUUAAUAAAGAAGCUCUCUUGGCCUAUGGCAGGACAGAUUACUCCUGAAUACACCUGAAUCUUCAGCACAAAUCAGGAAGCUGUCUCUUAAAGAAGCCAUGCCUCUGCUUGCCACCAGCAAACAGAACCUAUCUGAAAAAAAUUGCAGCUAUCAAGAAGCUGAAAUUGACUCUCAUUUUUGUGGGUCUAGAAGUCCUUUUAAAAAAAAAAAGCUUUCUUAGA
Long non-coding RNA from Arvicola amphibius (Eurasian water vole), 1155 nucleotides. RefSeq lists it as uncharacterized. Lineage: Eukaryota; Metazoa; Chordata; Mammalia; Rodentia; Cricetidae. The record is from RefSeq and is a predicted model, not a curated record. The transcript is spliced from 4 exons.